AAAAAGCUAAAUGAUUUGAUCUCCUUUGCAUAAACUUGGUUGUGAAUUUCACAUUUUAGCAUUAAGUUGUGUAUGGGCAUAAAUAGUGAUGUGAAUCCUUAGUGUAGACACCAUCUGUUUCUAUAGAUAUAGAAGUGAUCUACUCAAAAUAAUUCCUUACAAUUAAUAAUCAUAUCAACUAAAGUUUAAACAAAGAAUAUACAUGGAAUUACAAAAAAAAUUAUGAAAAGAGGUUGAGCAAGUCACCAUGGAGAAAAUGGAUACUCACUUAUUCCUUCUUCACUAGAUCGCUUGCUUCACUGAAUCACACACAACUGAUUGCUUCUUUCACUUUCCUCGGAAUCAACUGUUUGCUAAGAUGAUUAGUCGCUGUAA
This 375-nucleotide long non-coding RNA is filed under the name Salvia miltiorrhiza (redroot sage). RNAcentral describes it as "long non-coding RNA (SMIL_LNC005497)". The record is from RNAcentral. Lineage: Eukaryota; Viridiplantae; Streptophyta; Magnoliopsida; Lamiales; Lamiaceae.